GAUGAACGCUGGCGGCGUGCCUAAUACAUGCAAGUCGAGCGAACAGAUGAGGAGCUUGCUCCUCUGACGUUAGCGGCGGACGGGUGAGUAACACGUGGAUAACCUACCUAUAAGACUGGGAUAACUUCGGGAAACCGGAGCUAAUACCGGAUAAUAUAUUGAACCGCAUGGUUCAAUAGUGAAAGACGGUUUUGCUGUCACUUAUAGAUGGAUCCGCGCCGCAUUAGCUAGUUGGUAAGGUAACGGCUUACCAAGGCAACGAUGCGUAGCCGACCUGAGAGGGUGAUUGGCCACACUGGAACUUAGACACGGUCCAGACUCCUACGGGAGGCAGCAGUAGGGAAUCUUCCGCAAUGGGCGAAAGCCUGACGGAGCAACGCCGCGUGAGUGAUGAAGGUCUUCGGAUCGUAAAACUCUGUUAUUAGGGAAGAACAAAUGUGUAAGUAACUAUGCACGUCUUGACGGUACCUAAUCAGAAAGCCACGGCUAACUACGUG
This 497-nucleotide ribosomal RNA is filed under the name uncultured bacterium. RNAcentral's name for it is "partial 16S ribosomal RNA". It matches the Rfam family "Bacterial small subunit ribosomal RNA", at positions 28 to 507 of the family's 1533-position model. The record is from RNAcentral.